RNAcentral lists this unclassified non-coding RNA (353 nucleotides) under Hevea brasiliensis (rubber tree). The record is from RNAcentral. Lineage: Eukaryota; Viridiplantae; Streptophyta; Magnoliopsida; Malpighiales; Euphorbiaceae.
UAUCAAAAGAUUGGAAGAACGAAAUAUUGAUCAAAAUUACCAAUUUAAACCUAAUAUCCAAAUCAACCAUUAAGGGCAAGAUAAUUAACAAUUAGGAAGGAGUAUUUUUGUAGCUGCCACAAAUAAACAACAAUGUUCUUGGACGCUGUUGGUUGACGCCGGUGGAGCCUGCUGGCAUCGACUGUUGCUGUCCCUGCAAAAUAAGAAGAGAGAAAAAGAGUGAGCGAAGGAGAGUAGCAAAGAGGGCGUAGGCAAGACGGGGAGGAGAGAGGUGACGAGAGAAGAAAGAAAAGGGAGGGGCGGUUGGAGAGAGGGAAGAUGAGGGAGGCGGAGAGAGGGAAAAGGGGAGGAAG